This 497-nucleotide ribosomal RNA is filed under the name uncultured bacterium. Its description in RNAcentral is "partial 16S ribosomal RNA". It matches the Rfam family "Bacterial small subunit ribosomal RNA", at positions 28 to 507 of the family's 1533-position model. The record is from RNAcentral.
GAUGAACGCUGGCGGCGUGCCUAAUACAUGCAAGUCGAGCGAACGGACGAGAAGCUUGCUUUUCUGAUGUUAGCGGCGGACGGGUGAGUAACACGUGGAUAACCUACCUAUAAGACUGGGAUAACUUCGGGAAACCGGAGCUAAUACCGGAUAAUAUUUUGAACCGCAUGGUUCAAAAGUGAAAGACGGUCUUGCUGUCACUUAUAGAUGGAUCCGCGCUGCAUUAGCUAGUUGGUAAGGUAACGGCUUACCAAGGCAACGAUGAAUAGCCGACCUGAGAGGGUGAUCGGCCACACUGGAACUGAGACAUGGUCCAGACUCCUACGGGAGGCAGCAGUAGGGAAUCUUCCGCAAUGGGCGAAAGCCUGACGGAGCAACGCCGCGUGAGUGAUGAAGGUCUUCGGAUCGUAAAACUCUGUUAUUAGGGAAGAACAUAUGUGUAAGUAACUGUGCACAUCUUGACGGUACCUAAUCAGAAAGCCACGGCUAACUACGUG